Molecule: ribosomal RNA, 492 nt
Filed under: uncultured bacterium
Lineage: Bacteria
Description: partial 16S ribosomal RNA
Rfam family: Bacterial small subunit ribosomal RNA
Source: RNAcentral
GAUGAACGCUAGCUACAGGCUUAACACAUGCAAGUCGAGGGGAAACGGCAUCGAAAGCUUGCUUUUGAUGGGCGUCGACCGGCGCACGGGUGAGUAACGCGUAUCCAACCUGCCCAUCAUUUGGGAAUAACCUUGCGAAAGUAAGACUAAUGCCCAAUGACAUCCCACGAAGGCAUCCGAAUGGGAUUAAAGAUUUAUCGGUGAUGGAUGGGGAUGCGUCUGAUUAGCUUGUUGGCGGGGUGACGGCCCACCAAGGCAACGAUCAGUAGGGGUUCUGAGAGGAAGGUCCCCCACAUUGGAACUGAGACACGGUCCAAACUCCUACGGGAGGCAGCAGUGAGGAAUAUUGGUCAAUGGGCGAGAGCCUGAACCAGCCAAGUAGCGUGCAGGAUGACGGCCCUAUGGGUUGUAAACUGCUUUUAUAAGGGAAUAAAGUGGGUCACGUGUGACUUUUUGCAUGUACCUUAUGAAUAAGGACCGGCUAAUUCCGUG